Molecule: ribosomal RNA, 301 nt
Filed under: uncultured bacterium
Lineage: Bacteria
Description: partial 16S ribosomal RNA
Rfam family: Bacterial small subunit ribosomal RNA
Source: RNAcentral
CAGUCGCCACGGUAAUACGUAGGUGGCAAGCGUUGUCCGGAAUUAUUGGGCGUAAAGGGCUCGCAGGCGGUUUCUUAAGUCUGAUGUGAAAGCCCCCGGCUCAACCGGGGAGGGUCAUUGGAAACUGGGAAACUUGAGUGCAGAAGAGGAGAGUGGAAUUCCACGUGUAGCGGUGAAAUGCGUAGAGAUGUGGAGGAACACCAGUGGCGAAGGCGACUCUCUGGUCUGUAACUGACGCUGAGGAGCGAAAGUGUGGGGAGCGAACAGGAUUAGAUACCCGCGUAGUCCCUGUCUCUUAUAC